Molecule: ribosomal RNA, 1438 nt
Filed under: uncultured organism
Description: SSU rRNA
Rfam family: Bacterial small subunit ribosomal RNA
Source: RNAcentral
UAGCUACAGGCUUAACACAUGCAAGUCGAGGGGCAGCAUGGUCUUAGCUUGCUAAGGCCGAUGGCGACCGGCGCACGGGUGAGUAACACGUAUCCAACCUGCCGUCUACUCUUGGACAGCCUUCUGAAAGGAAGAUUAAUACAAGAUGGCAUCAUGAGUCCGCAUGUUCACAUGAUUAAAGGUAUUCCGGUAGACGAUGGGGAUGCGUUCCAUUAGAUAGUAGGCGGGGUAACGGCCCACCUAGUCUUCGAUGGAUAGGGGUUCUGAGAGGAAGGUCCCCCACAUUGGAACUGAGACACGGUCCAAACUCCUACGGGAGGCAGCAGUGAGGAAUAUUGGUCAAUGGGCGAGAGCCUGAACCAGCCAAGUAGCGUGAAGGAUGACUGCCCUAUGGGUUGUAAACUUCUUUUAUAAAGGAAUAAAGUCGGGUAUGGAUACCCGUUUGCAUGUACUUUAUGAAUAAGGAUCGGCUAACUCCGUGCCAGCAGCCGCGGUAAUACGGAGGAUCCGAGCGUUAUCCGGAUUUAUUGGGUUUAAAGGGAGCGUAGAUGGAUGUUUAAGUCAGUUGUGAAAGUUUGCGGCUCAACCGUAAAAUUGCAGUUGAUACUGGAUAUCUUGAGUGCAGUUGAGGCAGGCGGAAUUCGUGGUGUAGCGGUGAAAUGCUUAGAUAUCACGAAGAACUCCGAUUGCGAAGGCAGCCUGCUAAGCUGCAACUGACAUUGAGGCUCGAAAGUGUGGGUAUCAAACAGGAUUAGAUACCCUGGUAGUCCACACGGUAAACGAUGAAUACUCGCUGUUUGCGAUAUACUGCAAGCGGCCAAGCGAAAGCGUUAAGUAUUCCACCUGGGGAGUACGCCGGCAACGGUGAAACUCAAAGGAAUUGACGGGGGCCCGCACAAGCGGAGGAACAUGUGGUUUAAUUCGAUGAUACGCGAGGAACCUUACCCGGGCUUAAAUUGCAGAUGAAUUACGGUGAAAGCCGUAAGCCGCAAGGCAUCUGUGAAGGUGCUGCAUGGUUGUCGUCAGCUCGUGCCGUGAGGUGUCGGCUUAAGUGCCAUAACGAGCGCAACCCUUGUUGUCAGUUACUAACAGGUUCCGCUGAGGACUCUGACAAGACUGCCAUCGUAAGAUGUGAGGAAGGUGGGGAUGACGUCAAAUCAGCACGGCCCUUACGUCCGGGGCUACACACGUGUUACAAUGGGGGGUACAGAGGGUCGCUACCACGCGAGUGGAUGCCAAUCCCCAAAACCUCUCUCAGUUCGGACUGGAGUCUGCAACCCGACUCCACGAAGCUGGAUUCGCUAGUAAUCGCGCAUCAGCCACGGCGCGGUGAAUACGUUCCCGGGCCUUGUACACACCGCCCGUCAAGCCAUGGGAGCCGGGGGUACCUGAAGUGCGUAACCGCGAGGAGCGCCCUAGGGUAAAACUGGUGACUGGG